Molecule: ribosomal RNA, 483 nt
Filed under: uncultured bacterium
Lineage: Bacteria
Description: partial 16S ribosomal RNA
Rfam family: Bacterial small subunit ribosomal RNA
Source: RNAcentral
GACGAACGCUGGCGGCGUGCUUAACACAUGCAAGUCGAGCGCUGAAGCUCAGCUUUUGUUGGGUGGAUGAGUGGCGAACGGGUGAGUAACACGUGAGUAACCUGCCUCCUUCUUUGGGAUAACGCCCGGAAACGGGUGCUAAUACUGGAUAUUCACUGGUCUUCGCAUGGGGGUUGGUGGAAAGGGUUUUUCUGGUGGGGGAUGGGCUCGCGGCCUAUCAGCUUGUUGGUGGGGUGAUGGCCUACCAAGGCUUUGACGGGUAGCCGGCCUGAGAGGGUGACCGGUAACAUUGGGACUGAGAUACGGCCCAGACUCCGACGGGAGGCAGCAGUGGGGAAUAUUGCGCAAUGGGCGCAAGCCUGAUGCAGCGACGCCGCGUGAGGGAUGGAGGCCUUCGGGUUGUGAACCUCUUUCGCUCAUGGUCAAGCCGCAACAAUGGUUGUGGUGAGGGUAGUGGGUAAAGAAGCGCCGGCUAACUACGUG